RNAcentral lists this ribosomal RNA (265 nucleotides) under uncultured archaeon. RNAcentral describes it as "partial 16S ribosomal RNA". It matches the Rfam family "Archaeal small subunit ribosomal RNA", at positions 714 to 982 of the family's 1478-position model. The record is from RNAcentral.
AGACGUCUACAUUAGAUACCCCUGUAGUCCCAGCCGUAAACUAUGCGCGUUAGGUGUAUCGGUGACCACGAGUUACCGAGGUGCCGAAGGGAAACCGUGAAACGUGCCGCCUGGGAAGUACGGUCGCAAGGCUGAAACUUAAAGGAAUUGGCAGGGGAGCACAACAACGGGUGGAGCCUGCGGUUUAAUUGGACUCAACGCCGGACAACUCACCGGGAACGACAGCAAUAUGUAGGCCAGGCUGAAGACCUUGCCUGAAUCGCUG